This 1015-nucleotide long non-coding RNA is filed under the name Medicago truncatula (barrel medic). RNAcentral describes it as "lncRNA gene21361". Lineage: Eukaryota; Viridiplantae; Streptophyta; Magnoliopsida; Fabales; Fabaceae. The record is from RNAcentral.
CUUGUUCAUAAAUAUUUAAUUGUGCUUUCUAUUCGUACAUAAUUUUAUAAUGGUAUUAUUGUUUUCCCCUUUACCCUUACGAAAGGUUAAAAAAAAAUAGAAUUAUUUACAGGAAAAAGUAAACUAAAGUUUGUAAAAUUGUAUUCAAUUAUAUUAAUUAUUAUUUUUAUCACAUGAAGUCCUUUAAUGUGUGCUAAAUGAACAAAAAUAACACAUUGAUAUAUUUAAGUGAUAUUUACUAAUAAUUCUAAAAUUAUGAAGAGCCUUUAAAAAUUUAUAAUGCUUAAACUAUUUAAUUAUUUCUACAAUAAGGUGGAGUAUGUUUGUGAUUUCUAAAAAACGUAUUUAUAGAUCAUUUGGCCAUUCAUAAGAUUAUAAGGAAAUAUUUUUAUUACAUGUUUUUUUUUCAUGUGUAGAGGCAAUGUUCCUUCAAUAGUCAGAUGAUUAAUUUUAGUGGUUGUAAAAGAGAUAAAGAUUGUCCACAAUUUCGAGGAGUUAAUAUUAGGUGUCGUAGUGGCUUUUGUACACCGAUAGACAGUUAAAGAUUAUGUUUCUCUAUUUUAAGAACCUUGAAGUUAUGACUUUGUAUUAUAAGAUGAUGAAAAUGAAAUGAGGAAGCAAAGAGUUUUAUUUAUAGGAUCUCCUUGGAACUAAUUUGUUGUUCUUGCUUCUAAGAGUACUAAUCAGAUUCCUUGGAACUUAAGAAAUCGUUGGAACAAUGUCAAGGUAAUUCUCCAGGGCCUCAAAUGUAUUAUCUCACAUAUAUAUAGAGAAGGAAACCAAGUAGCUGACACAUUGGCUAAUCAUGGUUUAUCUCUUGAUUCUAUUCACUUUUGGAAUGAUGUACCAGAGUUCACUAGGGCCAGUUACUUUAGGAAUAAAGAUGGCUGGUCCAAUUUCAGAUUUUCUUAUUAGUUGGGAAGUUUCGGCCUAGUCCCCUUCCCUUUGUAUUUCUGUUCUCUUUUUAAUGAAAUUGAGGUUGGUUUGCAUCUAUGCAUCCAGCCUUUUUGGCUUA